UUCCGGUAGGUGAACCUGCGGAGGGAUCAUUACCGAGUUUACAACUCCCAAACCCCUGUGAACAUACCACUUGUUGCCUCGGCGGAUCAGCCCGCUCCCGGUAAAACGGGACGGCCCGCCAGAGGACCCCUAAACUCUGUUUCUAUAUGUAACUUCUGAGUAAAACCAUAAAUAAAUCAAAACUUUCAACAACGGAUCUCUUGGUUCUGGCAUCGAUGAAGAACGCAGCAAAAUGCGAUAAGUAAUGUGAAUUGCAGAAUUCAGUGAAUCAUCGAAUCUUUGAACGCACAUUGCGCCCGCCAGUAUUCUGGCGGGCAUGCCUGUUCGAGCGUCAUUUCAACCCUCAAGCACAGCUUGGUGUUGGGACUCGCGUUAAUUCGCGUUCCCCAAAUUGAUUGGCGGUCACGUCGAGCUUCCAUAGCGUAGUAGUAAAACCCUCGUUACUGGUAAUCGUCGCGGCCACGCCGUUAAACCCCAACUUCUGAAUGUUGACCUCGGAUCAGGUAGGAUGACGU
Molecule: ribosomal RNA, 515 nt
Filed under: Fusarium sp. ASR-94
Lineage: Eukaryota; Fungi; Ascomycota; Sordariomycetes; Hypocreales; Nectriaceae
Description: eukaryotic LSU rRNA
Rfam family: 5.8S ribosomal RNA (bases 181-334)
Source: RNAcentral